RNAcentral lists this long non-coding RNA (1112 nucleotides) under Capsicum annuum. RNAcentral's name for it is "long non-coding RNA (CANN_LNC013074)". The record is from RNAcentral. Lineage: Eukaryota; Viridiplantae; Streptophyta; Magnoliopsida; Solanales; Solanaceae.
CGACCAUGAGAGGAGAUCCAUUAUCUAUCGAGUUUCGAACUGUGUGCCAUUAGCAGAGCAGUAAUUGCUUGUUUCCAAUACCAAGUUGGUUUUAUUAACUGUUUGCACUCAAGGAACAGCAUAUAGUAUAAAUAAACAAGUGAGUACUCUUUAUAAUACAAGUAAUAAAUGCAUCUAUCAAAUCAUCAAAAGAGAUAAUUGUGAUAGACAAACAUACAUAUUGUCAUAACGUACGUGUGCGGGUGUAUGUACUGCACAUUUAUUCGGAACACUUAAUAUAAUCAACUCAAGAUUGAGAAAGAGGAGGAGCUGCUUCAGAAUCUGGACCACUAUCGACAGGAGGAGCUGCAUCAGAAACUGGAGUACUGCCACCACUAAUGGUAGGAGGAAGUGCGUCAGAAACUGGAGUACUUCCGCCGCUAGCGGUAGGAGGAAGUGCAUCAGAAACUGGAGUACUUCCGCCACCAACGGCAGGAGGAAGGGCCUCAGAAACAGGAUCACUUCCGCCACCAACGGCAGGAGGAAGGGCCUCAGAAACAGGAUCACUUCCGCCACCAACGGCAGGAGGAAGGGCCUCAGAAACAGGAUCACUUCCGCCACCAACGGCAGGAGGAAGUGCAACAGAAACAGGAUCACUACCGCCGCCAACGGUAGGAGGAAGUGCAACAGAAACAGGAUCACUACCGCCACCAACGGUAGGAGGAAGUGCAUCAGAAACUGGAGUACUUCCAUCACUAACGGCAGGAGGAAGUGCAUCAGAAACAGGAUCACUACCGCCACUAAUGGUAGGAGGAAGUGCAACAGAAACAGGAUCACUACCGCCGCCAACGGUAGGAGGAAGUGCAUCAGAAACUGGAGUACUUCCGCCACCAACGGCAGGAGGAAGUGCCUCAGAAACAGGAUCACUACCGCCACUAGAGGUAGGAGGAAGUGCAUCAUCAGAAACAGGAGCACUACCGGCACUAACACUAGGAGAAGGUGCAUCAGAAACUGGAGUACUGCCACCUCCAUGAACUACCGGAGCAACUGCACCCGAACUUAAGAGCUGAGACAUUCCACGUCGUGGAAGACGAAUUUUCUGGGACGAGCACAUUUUGGCCAAAGAUACUCCU